GGGCAUUGCGCGCGGCGCUAUGGAGAGGCGCUUACAAAGCGGACACCGGGUCGCCGGCCCGCACAGCGCUUGCUCUCACCACGCACAGCUGUUACCAUUCUCGACUCUAACAACGACGGCGACUCGAUGAGGCCAGCGCCACGCACGUUGUCUCACCUAAGCUGCCAAUCAACGCCACGAAGGCUCGUGCAGAGAAAGUAUAUUCAGAGACACGGGACAGGGAGCAAGGGAGGCGGACGGCGCGGGGCCGGCGUUCUCCGCGUCAUCUUGCCUCGCUGCUGCUACACCCAGACAGAAGUAGGUCAGGCAUCCCUCGGAGCGUGCUGAGCCAGACGAGAGCUGAGCCGCCAGCCUUCCUGGGCCUCCAGCUCACUGGCUGGAGACCUUGGACUCCUCAGCCUCCACAGCUGUGCGAGCCGGUGUUUACGGCGAAUCUCUCUCCAUGCACGCGUGUGUACGGCGCGUGGGCGUGCUCGGGUACGGAAGCCUCCGCGCCUGCAGGCCGCCCGCCUGCGGACGGGAAAGGGACCACCGCGGCUGCCUCUGCGACGGACACGCGCGCGCUCUUCUCUCGUUAGCGUUUCUGAGCCGGUUCUGCCCAGCGUCUAUCACCUGCCAUCUCCACCGCUUUAAGUAUCACAGGUCAUGUGGAGAUGGCCAGAGGUACCCAGGAGGAUGCGCGGGUCUGAUGCCAAGCCAAGCAAGGGGCGGGAGCGCCUUGAGGAUUUUUGGUACUUGUAAACAGUUCUGGAAACCCAUCCCACCGAGGACCCCAAAAGAUGGCUGCACGCUUGUCUGAGUAUGUAGUAUAUGUAUAGAUUGCCUAUACGUGCUUGCAGGUGCGUCAUUUAUAUAAAUACACACCUCGUCUGUUGUGUGUGUUUUUUCUGGAGAACAUAGGUUUACUCAUUUAUUGCUUAUUUUCGUGUGUUCAUGUGCACACUCGUGGAAGCCAGGGGUUCAGGUGUCCCCAUCCGCUUGCUCCCCAUUAAAAUUACCGAUAAUUUAAUGAAAACAUUUACUUAUUUUCACGUUAUGUGUAUGGGUGUGUGCAUACAUGUUUUACCUGCAUGUGUGUCUGUGCCACGUGCACGCGGUGCCCCUCGGAGGCCAGAAGAUGGUGUCAGGUCUCCUGGAACUGGAGUUUACAGACAGUUGUGCGCUGCAGUGGGGUACUGGCAAGCAAACCCGGGUCCUCUGGGAAAAGCAGCCGGUGAUCUAACCACUGAACCAUCACCUCUCCAGGUCCCUUCCUUUAAUUUUUGAGACAGGGUCGCUCGCGGAACCUGGAGCUCACUGAUUGGCUCAACUACUCUAAGCCCCGGGGAUCCUCCUGUCUCCACCUGGCCAGCGCAGGCUCGGGACCCGACUCACCUGGCUUUUACGUCUCCUGCUUGAGCGGCAGGCGCGGCACCCAGUGAGCCAUCCUCCCAGACCGCAGCGAUUGGGUUAAACAGGAGCACGUGACACGGUUCUGCCCAAUGAGGUGCAGGGAAAGUCUGCUGCCCGCCUCCUCGUGCGCCCCAGAGAGGCCUGCAGAGCACAGCCCGGCUUCCGGCGCUCGCCCUCUCUGUCCGCUGGCAGUGCUCAGGCAGCGGAGGGCACAGCUGGCACCGGGGCAUGCGGAGUCCCAGGAGAAUCGGACACUGCGGCAUCCACCGCUGGGUUUGGCGAUGUUCUGGAAAACACCACCUUCUGAGGGAGGCACGGGGUUAGGGCUUUGUCUUACCGGCAGUUGAAAUAAUCUCACGAUUCGUUGAGCCACGUGAGAGGACCUUCCGUCCCCUCUCCCCCACCUAACAUUUAAGCCAACACACACAGAUCGUUGUAGAGCAUCUAUUCUUAUGCUUGCAAAAGGAUGUUCUGGGUGUUUCCUAACACAACUGCCAUGUUUAGAAUGAAAUACUGAAUCAGUUUUGCAUCCCGAACAAUUGACUUGCCAGUGUGUGUUAAUUCCACAAUUAAGCUGACUGGAAAAAGUCACUUCCAGGUCCAGACUGCAGGGGGCGCUGUCGAGCAAACGACAUCUCUGGUUCAUCUGGCACAGCUGCCUGGCUCGGCCCAGGGUCUGUGUCGUGUGGCACUCUGUCCCGCUGUACUCGGGGAUUCAACCUCUCCCCAUCUUUGCCAAAACUUUUAAUGUGUGUGUGUCUUUGUGCAUUCGCAUGUGCAUAUAUGUGUGUGCUAUACGCAUGGGGGGCACACCCAGUUGGACAGGCAGAGGCCAGGAAGGGCACCGGGUUUCCUGUGCUAUCAUCGCUCCGUGUCUUGUUCCCUAAAACAGAACCUGGAGCUAGGCUGGCGGGUACAAGCUCCUGCUGUCUCCACAGUGCCGGGUGCACGGGCACGCGUGGAGCCCUGCCCUGGGGAAUUUAAAUUUCGGUCUCAAGCCUCUGUGACAAGUGCCCUUCCCCACUGAGCCAAACUCGGUGGCCCCUAAGCUUGCUUUUAUUUCUCAGUCAUCUGAGUGGGGAUGAAGCAGGAGUGUGAGGUUUCUGCUUUUCGUUCCCGGGCGACUAACAAAGCUGGACGGUGCUUCGAAUGCUAUCCAUCUGCCACUUGUGUAGCUUCCGUGGAAAAUGCUUAUCCAACCCUCUUGGCCUUUCUUAAAUUUGGAUUGUUGGUCUUUUUGUUCAGUUGUACACAUUCUUUAUGUAAACUAGACGCCGAGGUUAUCACCCCUAGGGUGUUCUGGGAUGUCCCGCCUCUGCAGAUCGCGAAGUCUAAUUCACUCUUUCCCCCCCUUUUACUGACGUCUAAGAAAACAAUCCCCAAACCAUGACUGUUUGGUCCUAUAUUUUCUUUUACAGGUUUGACAAUUUUAGCAUUUAUCCAAUCCAUUUGAGCUAAUUCUACGUACGGGGCGAGAUGAGGGGUCUGGGCGCUUUUGCAGGUUGAGAUUGUUGCAUCACUCGGCGUGGAACCCAUUUGGCUCCCUGUUGAGCAUCUUGGCCCUGUCUCCUCAGUCGGCGGGGCUCGGAUGGCUUGGUUUGUUUCUGAACUCUCAGGGCCACUUCAUCAUUCAUGUGACCGUCAUUACGACAGCACUGCGCUGUCUUGUUUAUUUUUAAUGCGUGUGUGUGUGUGUGUGUGUGUGUGUGUGUUCGUGUGCGCGCGCGAGCGUGCGCGCCUGCCAGAGGGCAUGCGGAGGACAGAGGCCCACUUAAGGUGUCCGUCUUCACCGUCGCUCUCUCUCGCUUGCUGCUGCGUGUCUACGUGCGCCAGCAUAGCUGGGCCACCAGCUUCCAGGGUUCUGUCUCUGCCCUCUGUCUUCAAGGAGCAGGGGCGCUGGGACCCAUGCACACUUCUGGGUUGGGCUUCAGCCCUCAGCUUCUUUGAAAACUGUGAAACUGGAAGAGCUAAGCUGUCCGCUCUCUUCAAGAUUGUUUUGUCUCAUGAAGGUUUCUCAACGUCCCCUGUGAAUUGUAGGGUCCAAUUCUGCAAAGAUGAGGGGAGAUGCAAAGAUGGCGACCCCAGGAAAAGGAUCAGUGGACGGCACCACUCUUUAUCACGUGACCUUCCUGUCCUGCUCUCAUUAGAGGAGGAGCUCGGCUCCACCCACCCACUGUGCAUUCACCCUCUGGUUGUAACCCAGAGGCUCCAACCCAGUGAGGAUAGGGCCUUCCUCCUUAACGUGGGGAGGUGGGUGGACGGGUUCUGUCCCCACUGAUCCCAGCUGCUGGGGACGGCCAGCACAGGCCAGCCACUCUCCUGCCUUUCUCUUCCGGUGCCAUUGUGGCCCAGAAUCAGUUCUCCCUCUGUGCCACUAGAAGGCGCCCUGCCUUCACGGAUGAUGCAAUUGUGACUCUUCUGUGAAGGCUCAUGGUAGAGAGGGCCACAGGGCAGGGCUGUCCUGUUUCCCUGGGGACUGUGCUGUGCUUGGAGUGUUGCCAGGGUUCUGAUAUAGUAACUGUAGCAGCGACAGCAAGUGCAGAGGCAGCCCUGGCCAUGGCCACAGUGUGUACCCGGCUCUGUCCCCAGGUGCGCUCCUGUAACCCCACAGGUCUUGGUGAUAGUCCUUUCAUGAUGCGUAGGAGAAAACCAAGUCUCAGAGAGGUGUGGUAACCUGCCCAGGGUCACACAGCACACGCUGGUGAAUAAGAGUGUUCUCUGUUCACAUGCUGGAGACGUAAUAAUGUCCACAGAGAGGGCUAUUUUUUUUUUUAAUUUUUAUUACGUUAUUUAAGUGUGUGCUUGCAUCAAGAGGGGAGAGGACUUCCUACAGGAAUUGGUUUUCUCCCAUCAUGUGGGUUCCUAGGAUCAAGCCCAGUCCUUAAGCUUGGCAGCAGACCCCUUUAUCUGCUGAGCCAUCUUGCUGGCGCAGAAGCUAUUAUUAACUCAUGUUGUGUAGACUUUGUAUUGUCUGUCCUUGUAACUUUGCUUGUUUUGUAAAGCGGAAGACUGCCUGGCAUGUGUGAGGUCCUGGAUUCCACCAUAUCUUAGUUGCGUUUCUGUGCAUCAUGACCAAAAGCAACAUGGGAGGAGGGGGGGCGUUUGCCUCAUCUUACAGCCUGUGGUCCACCCCCCACUCGGGGAGCCCAGGGUGGGAACUCAAGCAAGGCAAGAACCUGGCAGAGGCCCGCAGGGCACUGCUCACUGACUUGUCCCUCAAGGCUUGCUCAGCCUGCCUUCCUGUGGAACCCAGGACCCCCAGCCCAGGGAUGGCCCCGCCCUCAAUGGCUGGGCCCUCCCACAUCAAUCACCAAGGAGAUGCCCUGAAGGUUUGCACAUAGGCCAGCCUUGUGGAGGCAUUUUCUCAGCUGGCUUUCCCUCUUCUCACAUGACUCUAGCAUGUGUGCAGCUGACAAGAGUAGCCAGCACAUUCCCAGCACCACAAAAAUACAAUUCAGUUCUUUGUGACAGCUGUGGGUGGGACUCAGCAGUUUUGGUUAUAAUUCUCACUGAUUUGUACCUUUUUCCUUGUGUGUGCUAGUCACAGAGCGUAUAAAGGCAGUCGGGCGUGGGGGUCACCAUCAGCAUUCUACUAGCUCAAUACAACAGUGAAUGCCUUUCUAACUGAGUGCAUGCCUUUAAUCCCAGCACCCAGGAGGCAGAGGCAGCCAGAUCUCUGUUACAGGCCAGACUGUUCUACAGAGUGACAGGACAGCCAGAGGUAUGCAGAGAGUGUGUCUCAAACAAAACAAACCCCAGACAACAACAAGCAAAGCAAAACAAACAAAAAUAUGCUUAGGCAGGAGAAUGGUGAGUUCCAGGCCAGCCUGGGCUCCAUAAUGGUACCUCAGGGUUAGGAGUCAAAAGAAAAAAAAAAAAAAUCCUAGCAUGAUAAACUUCUGUUUUGCUUUCAGCUUGAGGCUCACUGUGUAGCACUGGCUGUCCUGAAACUCACCAUGCAGACAAGGGUGGCUUUGAACUUGGAGAUCUAACUGCUUCUGCCUCUUGAAUGCUGAAAUUAUAGCUCUAUGCAACCAUUCCUGAAUUGAUAAGCAUUGAGUUAUGACACGAACAGUGAAGGAAGUCUAAAUCAACUGAAGCCUGGGUAAUCUUCUUUGUAACAAUGUGGAUAACAAUAUGGAUAAUAGCAAUUGAAUCUAUAUGCUUCCAUGCGGCUCCUUUCAAAUGUAUAUAAAAUGAUGUCUAUCUGGAUGCCUUAAAUCCCAGGGUUGUGACGGAUACUGAGGGUGGCCCAAAAGUGACCUCACACUCACGUGGACACCCACGGGGGAAUGACCGGUGCUCAGUGUGAUACCUUGCAUUCCCAUGGGAGCCAAGAUGUGGCUGUGUGGAUGUGACAAAUCUCACGUGAACAGCCAAGAUGAUUUUAACAAGCCAGUGUGGGCGUGACAAAUCAGAAGCAGCCACAAACAAAACAGCACCAGAAUAUAAAAACCUUAAGACUAUUCGGAACACAAGACUGGAUUUCCCUGAAAAACAGCCCGAGGCUCCUGGAAUGGUGACGACUUUACUUGUGACCGAGAAGAUCUGCUCAGUUGUACAGGCAUAUCUGACGAAGACUCAUGCCCACCAAACAGUCAUUACACAGAUGACUAAUCCAAUCACCACAGCCCAAAGCUAAGCAAACGUGUUGUCUGUCAGCUCAUCAGUAAACGAAACAUUGUGUGUCCAUACAAUGGAACAUCACCUAGACAUGAGAAUUAUGACUUGUCAGAUAUGGUGACAGCACAAGCCAUCCUUGUGCCAAGGGAGGAAGCCAGUCAGAGACGACUGUUUUCUAUGAGUCACUUUAUAUGAAGUGUGUCAACAGGCCAGCAUAUUGAGACAGGGGCAGCUCAGUGGCUGCCUUGGGCAGGAGUGGGAGAUCUGGUACACACGAGCGGCCACUUAGGGUGUUAGCAGUCUUCCCUGGGAGAUGAAAUGUGAAACUAUGUCAAUGAGCAACUGGUCAACCCAGGGUAUUCUAAAAAGUAUGGACCUGGCCCCUACAAUGGUUGAACUUGAGCAGCAUGCCAAAGAAUUCGGAAUACUUUCUUCCAAGCAUGGCUGUGUGCCACGAAUGGUCAGGGGUGACCUCUUGCCCGAUACUCAUAUGCUUCAUACAGCAGUAAAAUCCUACAGGGUCGAGGCUAUCAGUUUGGAAGCAGAGUCCCAGAGACAGGCUUCAAACUUUUGAUGGCGGCACGAUCACCUUCACAGACUCCUACAGGGAGGUGCCUGUGACAUGUAUUAAUAUAUUCUACCUAUGGAGACGUGAGGUCACCGAGGCUCUCUGGAAAGCAGAAAGGACUGAGCUGAGCAGAUGAUGAAGCACAGAGCUCAGGCACCACCCUCAGAAUGUGCCUGGCAGAGGCUGUCACCAGCAAGGCUAGAAGAACAGGACCAGCGUGUGAAUCUUCCCUUCUUCGUGCGAUGGGGCAGAAGCCAUCCUGAAUCACAGUUUAUGUCUUGGGAUGAACGGGAUUCCUCCGUGACCCAAUGGGAUUGGGCAGGGUGUGUGGGAUACAUGCAUACUGUGCAACAUAUAUCACAUAUGUGAUGCUGUCAUAUAUGGCCAUGUACAUCACGCACACACA
This is a long non-coding RNA of Meriones unguiculatus (Mongolian gerbil), 6989 nucleotides long. RefSeq lists it as uncharacterized. The record is from RefSeq and is a predicted model, not a curated record. NCBI's taxonomy places the organism in Eukaryota, Metazoa, Chordata, Mammalia, Rodentia, Muridae. The transcript is spliced from 2 exons.